Anas platyrhynchos (mallard) is the source of this 543-nucleotide non-coding RNA. The record is from RefSeq and is a predicted model, not a curated record. NCBI's taxonomy places the organism in Eukaryota, Metazoa, Chordata, Aves, Anseriformes, Anatidae.
CCCCCCGCCCGGCCCGGCCCGGCCCUGCCCGGCCCUACCCCACCCGGCCCUUCCCUUCCCUUCCCUUCCCGGCCCGGCCCCCAGGGGCCGGCUGCGUGCGGGCGGCGGGAGGCGAAGCGCGGCCGCUGCUCGCCGUGGGGCCGGUGCUUGCGAAAUGUCCUCGUAUCUAGAAAACCACGAUGAGGUUCCUGCGCUCAUUUAUGAGAAUAAAAACUGGCAAAAUACAUUUAGGAAGAAAAAUGGCAAUUUCUGUAUCUAAUGGCUCCAUUAUGGAGGGCUCAGCGUGCACCAUGCGGAGUGCUAUCCGCACCGUGCUGGAAUAUUGAGCCUGUAAAAUCUUUACCCAUUUAGCCCGUUUGAUGGUCCAAAUGGUCUACUUUUUCAAGCGGUUUUAAGUAAUGCCUCACUGAUUGAAUUAUAAUUUUCCUGACUGUAAUUGCCAAGAAUGUCCUUGGCAAAACAUACAUACAAUGUGUUUCAUCCAAUUUUGAAAUAUAUUUUGUAAUCAGAAUAAUAAAAGUUAAUAUUCAUCAGUUCCUCCCA